Long non-coding RNA from Macrobrachium nipponense, 327 nucleotides. RefSeq lists it as uncharacterized. Lineage: Eukaryota; Metazoa; Arthropoda; Malacostraca; Decapoda; Palaemonidae. The record is from RefSeq and is a predicted model, not a curated record. The transcript has 4 exons.
GACUGGCAUGCACCUGUGACUUACAUAAACCAGACCUCUACAUAGCCUACAUGUCUUCAUUUUGCUGAAGACUGCCCAUCAUCCUAGCCUGUUAUCUGUGAUAAAGCACACUGAAGUUAGGUUUGGAAUGCAUCCUUAUCAUGAAUGCUCUACACCUCCACCUCCAUCUCCCACAACCUAGGUAACAGCUUUGAGACUCACUAAAAGUUGAACCCCCUGAAUGAUGUAGGCUAUGGGGCCACAUAAGACUUUGUCCAUCCAGGGUUACAUUGAACGACAACUUUAAACUAAAAAACCAACAUUUUUCACACAACUCCAGGUUGUUAC